RNAcentral lists this long non-coding RNA (708 nucleotides) under Ananas comosus (pineapple). RNAcentral's name for it is "long non-coding RNA (ACOM_LNC025493)". The record is from RNAcentral. Lineage: Eukaryota; Viridiplantae; Streptophyta; Magnoliopsida; Poales; Bromeliaceae.
CAUAAUUUUUUGUGUCUUUUUUUUAAGAUUAAUUUCAUACAGAUCCCUACAAACAUAGUAAAUUAUAAAUAUAUUCCUAUAAAAUUCAAUUUUCAUAUGUUGUUCCUACAAAAGUCCUAAUAUUUUCAAAUAUAUCUUCCUGGUUUGUUACCAUUAAAAUACAUGUUUAUUUUAUAAGUAAAAUGACAUUUUUACCAUCACAAAUAUGUCCCUUCAAAAAUUUUAACUAUUAAUUAAAGAGGGGUAAAAAAAUUAAUUCACCUUAUUAAAUAACUAGAGUUAAGUAUUCUAUUUAUGGUUAACUAAGACUUUCUAACGGAUCCUAACGAUAAGAACAUAUUUGAAAACAUCAAAAUUUUUGUAAGAACAACAUAUGAAAAUUGAACUUUCUAGACAUAUAUUUAUAGAACUAGGCUGGAAUACUAUUAAUUGCACCAAUGACUUGAUGCUAUUAAGCUUUCUGCCCUUGGAUUAAAAAAUGUGCGGUUAAGAUGAUGUGGGCCUUCUAGGGUUGAGUGAGUGGUUGGUUGAAUAGUAUAAUCGAAUGGAUAAAAAUGAUAAAAGAGAUAAAUCUAACGACAGAAAACUUGAUAACACCAAAUAUUUCGUGCUAUUGAUAGUAUCUCAGCCGGACUCUAUAUUUGCAAUUUAUUAUAUUUAUAGGGAUUUGUAUGAUUUUUCUUUUUCUUUUUUUUUUCAAGGUGGGGC